This is a non-coding RNA of Neolamprologus brichardi, 381 nucleotides long. The record is from RefSeq and is a predicted model, not a curated record. NCBI's taxonomy places the organism in Eukaryota, Metazoa, Chordata, Actinopteri, Cichliformes, Cichlidae.
UCUAUCUGGUCGGUCUCCUGACUGCACGCUGGUCCAGUCCAAAGAAGAUGACUUUGACUGGGAGCAGGGAGACAACCGAGACCGAUUGGCCACCCCCUGGAUCCCUGCAGGCUCCUCCUUCCUGUUUGUGAACACGUCAGGUCGCUAUGGUGGUCAGCGCGCUCAGCUGCUACUACCGCCACUCAGAGAAAACGACACGCACUGCCUCAGUUUCCUGUUUUACCAGGUUGGAGGGCGCGAGGGUGCCGUGCCCGCUACGCUUAACGUCUACAUCAAAGAGAACGGUAGUCCUCUGGGAGUUCCUGUCUUUAACUCCUCAGGCCCUGCCUACCACAUCUGGAAGGGGGUGGAGCUUGCAGUGUCCACCUUCUGGCCCAAUCA